This 164-nucleotide ribosomal RNA is filed under the name uncultured bacterium. Its description in RNAcentral is "partial 16S ribosomal RNA". It matches the Rfam family "Bacterial small subunit ribosomal RNA", at positions 355 to 511 of the family's 1533-position model. The record is from RNAcentral.
UAGGGAAUCUUCCACAAUGGGCGAAAGCCUGAUGGAGCAACACCGCGUGAGUGAAGAAGGGUUUCGGCUCGUAAAGCUCUGUUGUUAAAGAAGAACACGUAUGAGAGUAACUGUUCAUACGUUGACGGUAUUUAACCAGAAAGUCACGGCUAACUACGUGCCAA